CCAGUCUAGGAAAAAAUUUCAUGAGAUCCCAUCUCAAAAGAUAAAGUUGGGUACAGUGGCCUGAGCUUGUCAUUCAGCUCUAGUGGGAAAUAUACAUUGAAAGAUCGUGGUCCAGGCCAACUAGAAUAAAGAGUGAGAUCUUCAUCUAAAAAAUACCCAGAGCAGGGCUGGGGAUAUGACCUAGUGGCAAGAAUGCUUGCCUCGUAUAC
This is a long non-coding RNA of Perognathus longimembris pacificus (Pacific pocket mouse), 209 nucleotides long. RefSeq lists it as uncharacterized. Lineage: Eukaryota; Metazoa; Chordata; Mammalia; Rodentia; Heteromyidae. The transcript is spliced from 3 exons. The record is from RefSeq and is a predicted model, not a curated record.